AACCAGGAGGUUGGCUUAGAAGCAGCCAUCCUUGAAAGAGUGCGUAAUAGCUCACUGGUCAAGUGGUUCCGCGCCGACAAUGUAGCGGGGCUUAAGCACACCGCCGACGCCGCGGCAGUCCAUCGUGGUCCUAGCCUGUCCGUUGGGCGGGUUCAGGGGGUGGGCUGGGUAGGGGAGCGUCCCGCGUUGGGUGAAGUCUCGGGGUGACCCGGGGUGGACGGCGUGGGAGUGAGAAUGCAGGCAUGAGUAGCGAGAGGCGGGUGAGAAACCCGUCCGCCGAUUGACUAAGGGUUCCAGGGCCAGGUUGAUCCGCCCUGGGUUAGUCGGGUCCUAAGGCGAGGCCGACGGGCGUAGUCGAUGGACAACGGGUUGAUAUUCCCGUACCGGCGCUUGACCGUUCAAUGUUCGCCGGGGUGAUGCUAACCAUCCCCGAUCCUGUGUGUCUCUUUCGGGAGGCGUGUGGGGGAGGGCGUGGGGUCCGAGCCUGGGUGGGCAAGCGUGGUAACAGGUGUGACGCAGAGUGGUAGUCCAACCGUGUCGUAUGGCUGAGCACGGCUAAGGGUGCAGCCCGUCUCCCAGGUAAAUCCGGGGGCGUUCGGGUCAGGCCUGAUGGGGACCGUUUGACGGGAAGUGGAUGAUCCUGUGCUGCCGAGAAAAGCAUCGACGUCAGGGCAAGCGCCGCCCGUACCCGAAACCGACACAGGUGGUCAGGUAGAGUAUACCGAGGCGUGCGAGUUAAUCGUGGUUAAGGAACUCGGCAAAAUGCCCCCGUAACUUCGGGAGAAGGGGGGCCCGGGCCUUGAUGUCCCCGUGCGGGGCGGAAGGGGCGCGGGCCGCAGAGUCCAGGGAGAAGCGACUGUUUAUCAAAAACACAGGUGCGUGCUAAGCCGCAAGGCGAUGUAUACGCACUGACGCCUGCCCGGUGCUGGAAGGUUAAGCGGACUGGUCAGCCCUUCGGGGUGAAGCUGGGAAGUUAAGCCCCAGUAAACGGCGGUGGUAACUAUAACCAUCCUAAGGUAGCGAAAUUCCUUGUCGGGUAAGUUCCGACCUGCACGAAUGGCGUAACGACUUCUCCGCUGUCUCAACCAUGAACUCGGUGAAAUUGCAGUACGAGUAAAGAUGCUCGUUUCGCGCAGCAGGACGGAAAGACCCCGGGACCUUUACUAUAGCUUGGUAUUGGUGUUCGGUACGGCUUGUGUAGGAUAGGUGGGAGACUGUGAACCGGUCACGCUAGUGGGCGGGGAGUCGUUGGUGAAAUACCACUCUGGCCGUGCUGACCAUCUAACCUCGGUCCGUGAUCCGGGCCAGGGACAGUGCCUGGUGGGUAGUUUAACUGGGGCGGUUGCCUCCUAAAGGGUAACGGAGGCGCUCAAAGGUUCCCUCAGCCUGGUCGGCAACCAGGUGGCGAGUGUAAGUGCACAAGGGGGCUUGACUGUGAGACUGACGGGUCGAGCAGGUACGAAAGUAGGAACUAGUGAUCCGGCGAUCCCGUGUGGGUGGGUCGUCGCUCAACGGAUAAAAGGUACCCCGGGGAUAACAGGCUGAUCCUGCCCAAGAGUCCAUAUCGACGGCAUGGUUUGGCACCUCGAUGUCGGCUCGUCGCAUCCUGGGGCUGGAGUAGGUCCCAAGGGUUGGGCUGUUCGCCCAUUAAAGCGGUACGCGAGCUGGGUUCAGAACGUCGUGAGACAGUUCGGUCCCUAUCCGCUGCGCGCGUAGGAGAAUUGAGAAGGGCUGUCCCUAGUACGAGAGGACCGGGACGGACGAACCUCUGGUGUGCCAGUUGUUCCGCCAGGAGCAUGGCUGGUUGGCUACGUUCGGGAGGGAUAACCGCUGAAAGCAUCUAAGCGGGAAGCCUGCUUCAAGAUAAGUUCUCCAUCCAGCCUGUGU
This 1887-nucleotide ribosomal RNA is filed under the name human metagenome. Its description in RNAcentral is "bacterial LSU rRNA". It matches the Rfam family "Bacterial large subunit ribosomal RNA", at positions 1091 to 2827 of the family's 2925-position model. The record is from RNAcentral.